This 72-nucleotide transfer RNA is filed under the name Capra hircus (goat). It matches the Rfam family "tRNA". Rfam says of the family: Transfer RNA (tRNA) molecules are approximately 80 nucleotides in length. Their secondary structure includes four short double-helical elements and three loops (D, anti-codon, and T loops). The record is from Rfam by way of RNAcentral. Lineage: Eukaryota; Metazoa; Chordata; Mammalia; Artiodactyla; Bovidae. RNAcentral also lists the same sequence under 1 other name.
UCCCUGAUGGUCCAGUGGCUAGGACUCCGCACUCUCAAUGCAGGGGCCCUGAUUUAAUCCCUGGUCAAGGAA